UACAGAGGUGGCAAGCGUUGUUCGGAAUUACUGGGCGUAAAGGGCGCGUAGGCGGCCUCCUAAGUCAGACGUGAAAUCCCCCGGCUUAACCUGGGAACUGCGUCUGAUACUGGGAGGCUAGAGUGCGGGAGAGGGAUGCGGAAUUCCAGGUGUAGCGGUGAAAUGCGUAGAUAUCUGGAGGAACACCGGUGGCGAAGGCGGCAUCCUGGACCGACACUGACGCUGAGGCGCGAAAGCUAGGGUAGCGAACGGG
Molecule: ribosomal RNA, 253 nt
Filed under: uncultured bacterium
Lineage: Bacteria
Description: partial 16S ribosomal RNA
Rfam family: Bacterial small subunit ribosomal RNA
Source: RNAcentral